RNAcentral lists this ribosomal RNA (254 nucleotides) under uncultured bacterium. RNAcentral's name for it is "partial 16S ribosomal RNA". It matches the Rfam family "Bacterial small subunit ribosomal RNA", at positions 524 to 776 of the family's 1533-position model. The record is from RNAcentral.
UACGUAGGGGGGCAAGCGUUGUCCGGAUUUAUUGGGCGUAAAGAGCGUGUAGGCGGUUUGGUAGGUCCGCUGUGAAAACUCGAGGCUCAACCUCGAGACGCCGGUGGAAACCAUCAGGCUAGAGUCCGGAAGAGGAGAGUGGAAUUCCUGGUGUAGCGGUGAAAUGCGCAGAUAUCAGGAAGAACACCCGUGGCUAAGGCGGCUCUCUAGUACGGUACUGACGCUGAGACGCGAAAGCGUGGGGAGCGAACAGG